GAGAGCUGUGACUUAGACAGAGAGCAGUUGCUUCUUAGUCAACAUUGUGAAGAAGACAGUUUUUGUGACUUUUAAAGAAGUUGAGUGUAAAAUGUCCACUUUUCUGUGUUCUGAUACUUCAGCUGCAGCAGCAGCUGAACGUCCAGUUCUCCGCAGCAGCACUGCAGAUUACUCCAUCCUGGAGCGUAUUGGUGAAGGCAAAUUUGGGCUGGUGAUGAAGUGCCAGAACCUUAAGAACAAUGAGACGGUGGCUGUGAAAAUCAUCAAGGAGGGCUUUGAACAAUAUUUUGAGCGUGAGAUUUCAAUGCUAAAGAUAAUUAGUGUCCUUGAUACUGACCGUACAAAUUUGCUUACAUUUUACGAGCAUUUUAUGUACGUGGGCUACAAUUGCCUGGCAUUUGAACUUCUUGAGGUCGACCUUUACGAUCUGAUGGAAAACCGAGAGUGG
Molecule: long non-coding RNA, 448 nt
Filed under: Gouania willdenowi (blunt-snouted clingfish)
Lineage: Eukaryota; Metazoa; Chordata; Actinopteri; Blenniiformes; Gobiesocidae
Description: lncRNA (ENSGWIG00000018128.1)
Source: RNAcentral